AGCAAAAAUCCCAGCAAUGAUUUCUCCCUUUUCAACCAUUAACUGUAUCUCAAAAUUGGUGUAUAGCUUGGUCUUGAAGUCCUUCAAUACCAUGCCAAUUUUCACCUUAAUCCAAUUGAUAGAUCUUUAGAUAUCAUAGAAAUCCUACCCAACCUCAAACUACCACCUUCAGAAAUCUUCUUGUGCUAAAAACUAGAUAUCUCUAAACCACAUUGUUAGAUUAUCACAAAAUUAUGUAUACACUUAGCACACCCAAUAAUCCAAAUAGUACCAAGUUUUCAACCGUAGAUGUCACACCAAUUGCACGAACUAGCCAAAAUUGCUAGCUCUAAUUAUAUUAUAUAAAAUCCAAAUCAUUGAUACAAACCUUGACUUUGAACAAAAAUUGCUAAGUCUUCCAAAACCCUCUCAAAAUAAUUCUUACAUCUCUGGAAAGAACUUCAAGCUAGCUCUCAAAUCCUAAUCUUCAAUCUUCGAAUGAUUCCCUAUUUUGCCCUAGGCCGUCGUUUUAGUGGCCAAAGGUCUGAUUUCGACCCUAUCUCACAAAUGGUCGACCCUCGGAUAUCAAUCUAAUCUA
RNAcentral lists this long non-coding RNA (577 nucleotides) under Physcomitrium patens. RNAcentral's name for it is "long non-coding RNA (PPAT_LNC003633)". The record is from RNAcentral. Lineage: Eukaryota; Viridiplantae; Streptophyta; Bryopsida; Funariales; Funariaceae.